RNAcentral lists this ribosomal RNA (426 nucleotides) under uncultured bacterium. RNAcentral describes it as "partial 16S ribosomal RNA". It matches the Rfam family "Bacterial small subunit ribosomal RNA", at positions 354 to 796 of the family's 1533-position model. The record is from RNAcentral.
GUGAGGAAUUUUCCGCAAUGGGCGAAAGCCUGACGGAGCAAUGCCGCGUGAAGGAUGAAGGCCUAUGGGUUGUAAACUUCUUUUCUCAGAAAAGAAUUAUGACGGUAACUGAGGAAUAAGCAUCGGCUAACUCUGUGCCAGCAGCCGCGGUAAGACAGAGGAUGCAAGCGUUAUCCGGAAUGAUUGGGCGUAAAGCGUCUGUAGGUUGUUUAAAAAGUAUUCUGUCAAAGAUUAGGGCUUAACUCUCGAGAGGCAGAAUAAACUUUUAAGCUAGAGUUUGGUAGAGGCAGAGGGAAUUCCCGGUGGAGCGGUGAAAUGCGUAGAUAUCGGGAGGAACACCAACGGCGAAGGCACUCUGCUGGGCCAAUACUAACACUGAGAGACGAAAGCGAGGGGAGCAAAUGGGAUUAGAAACCCUUGUAGUCC